AAACCGCCUAGAGGUAAACGGGUGGAUCCGCAAAGUCGGCCCGCGGAAUUCAGCUCGGAAGGCCGGCGCGAGCGGCGGGCAAGAGAUCUGAUGGGACUCUCCCGUCGUUCGACCGCUGGUCGGCCGUGUGCACUUUCCGCGGGCAGAGCGCCACGACCGGUUCCCGGGCGGUCAGAAGGCGGCGAGGAAGGUAGGUGGUUGCUCCGGCGGCCACUGUUACAGCCUCGCCUGUCCCGAUCCGCCGGGGGACCGAGGAGCCGCCGUCGGUCGCGGCCACUCCGCUCUCUCGGGGAGUUCGACUGGCAGAGACUGGGCAACCGUGUCUGCCGACCGCUCUUUGGGAUGGUCGGAGCGGGCCUGGCCGGCACAGGGUCGGUGGCGAAUCGGUCGGCCCUCCACCCGACCCGUCUUGAAACACGGACCAAGGAGUCUAACAUGCGCGCGAGUCGUUGGGUAGUACGAAACCCGAAGGCGAAGUGAAAGCGAGGGCGCGCCUCUGGUGCGCUCAGGUGGGAUCCCGCUCCUCACGGGGAGUGGGCGCACCGCCGGCCCGUCCCGUCCGCGCUGUCGGUGAGGCGGAGCAAGAGCGUGCACGUUGGGACCCGAAAGAUGGUGAACUAUGCCUGAGUAGGAUGAAGCCAGAGGAAACUCUGGUGGAGGUCCGCAGCGAUUCUGACGUGCAAAUCGAUCGUCAAACUUGGGUAUAGGGGCGAAAGACUAAUCGAACCAUCUAGUAGCUGGUUCCCUC
This 748-nucleotide ribosomal RNA is filed under the name Semisulcospira libertina. RNAcentral describes it as "eukaryotic LSU rRNA". The stretch from base 421 to 748 matches the Rfam family "Eukaryotic large subunit ribosomal RNA", at positions 665 to 961 of the family's 3401-position model. The record is from RNAcentral. Lineage: Eukaryota; Metazoa; Mollusca; Gastropoda; Semisulcospiridae.